GAACACACCCGAUCUCAUCUGAUCUCAGAAGCUAAGC
Molecule: ribosomal RNA, 37 nt
Organism: Nannospalax galili (Upper Galilee mountains blind mole rat)
Lineage: Eukaryota; Metazoa; Chordata; Mammalia; Rodentia; Spalacidae
Source: Ensembl